AAGGCUUUGUCAUUGACUGCUUCCUGACCUACUUUAUUUCACACGUGUAGACUGGGAAGGCUUUCAUCAGUUGCUGAUCAUCCUCUUCUGGAAAGUAAAGCUGGCAAUACUAUUUUUAUUUUCAUUUUAGGAAAAAGAAUGUUACUCGUGCCCUAAGGCAAGGUCAUAAUUUGCCUUCAGUUUAGGUAAUGUGAAAGAACAUGCCUAUUAGAGCUUUUGUUUUGGAUAUUUACUGCCAGUUCUUCACUAAAACAAAAGAAGCUGCAUCCUUAUAUCUUCAGAAUGUUUUGAGACCAGCAGAGACACUCCAGCCUGUUGGUGCCUUUUUGUUUCCAGUCUGGGAGGUCAGCCAAAGAAAACACUGCCUCUUAAACAGAGAUGACAAAAAAUGGAGGAGCAUACCACUAUCAAGCCUUAAAAUACAGCUCUAAUUCUUACUCCAACUCUGAAGAACUCAAUAUAUAUCACUUGAGAAGGUUUGCAAUGUAGGUUGCAAUGAAAUAAGUAAUUAGAUUGAGCAAGAACUGUUCUUUGGUUCACUUACUUUAUAGUAGUAAAUACCCUGAUUUCUGUUUUCUCUAGUUAUUUCAUUGUUAUCUCAACUGAGAAAUGGAGAUGUGGUAUUUUAUGUUUUGUAUCUGUAAAGCUUUUAAGACUUUCACACUAUAUGUCCUGAUUUAUGCAUCACUAUUUAAUAUGAAUAAUUAUUAAAGUCUUUUUCUGUGAUGAAAACAAAGUAUUUAAUUAAGUUGUUAUCUCAGAAUGCUUCACACUGCUAAUUUUGCUACCAUCAUGGUAUUAGCUUUUACUGGCAGAAUGCAUUUAAAAAGACUGCUCAAAAGAGGUUCUGAAGUUGUUUCCCAAGCAUGUACUCACUGCUGGGGACAGAAGAUGGCUUUGGAACUGCAUUUCCUUUUUACAAGCUCUCUUCAACAGGAAACAUGAAACUGCUAGAAAUAUUUUGAUUUAUGUGCUGUGAGAGAAAUGCGAGGUCUUUGAACAGUUGUGACCUGCAAUAGGAAUGCUGAGGCACUGAAUGGUGUCAGGGUCAGUAAUAGAUCUAUGGUUGUGUUCUUCUAUU
Molecule: long non-coding RNA, 1081 nt
Filed under: Taeniopygia guttata (zebra finch)
Lineage: Eukaryota; Metazoa; Chordata; Aves; Passeriformes; Estrildidae
Description: lncRNA (ENSTGUG00000025133.1)
Source: RNAcentral